RNAcentral lists this ribosomal RNA (406 nucleotides) under uncultured bacterium. RNAcentral's name for it is "partial 16S ribosomal RNA". It matches the Rfam family "Bacterial small subunit ribosomal RNA", at positions 30 to 526 of the family's 1533-position model. The record is from RNAcentral.
AUUGAACGCUGGCGGUAGGCUUAACACAUGCAAGUCGAGCGAGCGGCGGACGGGUGAGUAAUGCAUCGGAAUCUGCCUUAUGGAUGGGGAUAACGUUUGGAAACUGUAGCUAAUACCGCAUACCAUCAGAUUUUCCCAGAUGGGAUUAGCUAGUGGGUGGGGGAACGGCUCACCAAGGCGACGAUCCCUAGCUGGUCUGAGAGGAUGAACAGCCACACUGGAACUGAGACACGGUCCAGACGCCUACGGGAGGCAGCAGUGGGGAAUAUUGGACAAUGGGCGCAAGCCUGAUGCAGCCAUGCCGCGUGUGGGAAGAAGGCCUUCGGGUUGUAAAGCACUUUCAGCGGGGAAGCGUUACUCGCAGAAGAAGCACCGGCUAACUUCGUGCCAGCAGCCGCGGUAAUAC